Long non-coding RNA from Triticum aestivum (bread wheat), 725 nucleotides. RefSeq lists it as uncharacterized. The transcript is spliced from 4 exons. Lineage: Eukaryota; Viridiplantae; Streptophyta; Magnoliopsida; Poales; Poaceae. The record is from RefSeq and is a predicted model, not a curated record.
ACUCUACUUGUUCACCUGUGUCAGUUUGGGGUACGGUCAGCUCACCGGGAGGAUCGCCCUCCCAAUUCAAAGUUUUUUCCUCGAAGUUUCAACCGUCGUUGACUAUGACAACAGUCGUGACCGACUAUUAAGAUCCUCGCGACUAUGGCAGGGCGGUACGCUCUGCUCUCUCACGACCUCCACUCUAAUCAAAAGACUAAAGGCCCCUACGGAAGAUGAAAAAGGCGAGGACUGAAAUGAGAAAGGAAGGAGUUCGGUAAGACGACUUCGAUUCACAUGUGAAAGUGCUUCGAAAGGUGUCAGCAGGUGCGCGGAGCCGGAGCCGGCAUGUUCGCCCGCUGGGCCGAGUGUUCGCCCACUUCUUUUUCUUCGUGUUUAGAGAGAAAUCCGUGUCCGCCCCAGCAAGAAAACGUAUGCGUGUGUACGGAAGCGCAACGGCUUUCGCGCUCAUCCCUUGCUUCAAAACUACAGGUUUUAGCCCUCCGUUUGCUGGUCGCCAUAGACGAGAGCUUCGCCUUUGGAAGCGCUAGUAGCGUAGGGCGACCGGGCCAGCCGAGCCCCUCUGAAUUAGUUGACGGCUUUGAUGACUCGACGGUGAAUAUUAAGGAAAGGAGAGCGUGGGGAAGAGGGGGCAGCCCUCGGCCCGAUCAUCCAAUUCGCUCCGACGAUCCAGGAAUGGUUCAGUAGUCAAAGCAACUUCGUCACUUUCGUGAGAUUGGAAGAGC